AAUGAACGUUGGCGGCAUGGAUUAGGCAUGCAAGUCGGGGGAAUCCCAGCAAUGGGGGAACCGGCGUAAGGGGCAGUAAGGCAUGGGUACCUACCUUGGGGUUCGGGAUAGCCAUCAGAGAUGGUGGGUAAUACCGGAUGACGUCGUGAGACCAAAGAUUUAUCGCCCUUAGAGGGGCGCCAUGUGAUAUUAGCUAGUUGGUGGGGUAACGGCCCACCAAGGCGAAGAUGUCUAGCGGGUGUGAGAGCACGACCCGCGCCACUCGCACUGAGACGCUGGCGAGACACCUACGGGUGGCUGCAGUCGAGGAUCUUCGGCAAUGGGCGCAAGCUUGACCGAGCGAUGCCGCGUGAGCGAUGAAGGCCUUCGGGUUGUAAAGCUCUUUAGUGGGGGAGAAAAGCCGCAAGGUGUGAUCUAUCCCAAAAAUAAGCACGGGCUAAGUUCGUGCCAGCCGCCGCCGUAA
This 463-nucleotide ribosomal RNA is filed under the name uncultured bacterium. RNAcentral's name for it is "partial 16S ribosomal RNA". It matches the Rfam family "Bacterial small subunit ribosomal RNA", at positions 29 to 523 of the family's 1533-position model. The record is from RNAcentral.